GAUGAACGCUGGCGGCAGGCCUAACACAUGCAAGUCGAGCGGUAACAGAGAAGUAGCUUGCUACUUUGCUGACGAGCGGCGGACGGGUGAGUAAUGCUUGGGAACAUGCCUUGAGGUGGGGGACAACAGUUGGAAACGACUGCUAAUACCGCAUAAUGUCUACGGACCAAAGGGGGCUUCGGCUCUCGCCUUUAGAUUGGCCCAAGUGGGAUUAGCUAGUUGGUGAGGUAAUGGCUCACCAAGGCGACGAUCCCUAGCUGGUUUGAGAGGAUGAUCAGCCACACUGGGACUGAGACACGGCCCAGACUCCUACGGGAGGCAGCAGUGGGGAAUAUUGCACAAUGGGCGCAAGCCUGAUGCAGCCAUGCCGCGUGUGUGAAGAAGGCCUUCGGGUUGUAAAGCACUUUCAGUCAGGAGGAAAGGUUAGUAGUUAAUACCUGCUAGCUGUGACGUUACUGACAGAAGAAGCACCGG
This 474-nucleotide ribosomal RNA is filed under the name Pseudoalteromonas haloplanktis. RNAcentral's name for it is "bacterial SSU rRNA". It matches the Rfam family "Bacterial small subunit ribosomal RNA", at positions 28 to 496 of the family's 1533-position model. The record is from RNAcentral. Lineage: Bacteria; Pseudomonadati; Pseudomonadota; Gammaproteobacteria; Alteromonadales; Pseudoalteromonadaceae.